RNAcentral lists this ribosomal RNA (610 nucleotides) under unidentified nematode. Its description in RNAcentral is "SSU rRNA". It matches the Rfam family "Eukaryotic small subunit ribosomal RNA", at positions 1024 to 1643 of the family's 1831-position model. Lineage: Eukaryota; Metazoa; Nematoda. The record is from RNAcentral.
UUCUGACCGUAAACGAUGCCAACUAGCGAUCCGCCGGCGGAUUCCAAACGCCCUGGUGGGGAGCUUCCCGGAAACGAAAGUCUUCCGGUUCCGGGGGAAGUAUGGUUGCAAAGCUGAAACUUAAAGGAAUUGACGGAAGGGCACCACCAGGAGUGGAGCCUGCGGCUUAAUUUGACUCAACACGGGAAAACUCACCCGGCCCGGACACCGCGAGGAUUGACAGAUUGAUAGCUUUUUCAUGAUUCGGUGGAUGGUGGUGCAUGGCCGUUCUUAGUUCGUGGAGCGAUUUGUCUGGUUUAUUCCGAUAACGAGCGAGACUCUAGCCUACUAACUAGUCCGCACAUUCUACGUGCCUCGGCACUGUGUGCCCUUCGGACUUCUUAGAGGGAUUUUCGGCAUCCAAGCCGCACGAAACUGAGCAAUAACAGGUCUGUGAUGCCCUUAGAUGUCCGGGGCUGCACGCGCGCUACACUGGCGAAAUCAGCGUGCCUGUCCUCUCGCGAAAGCGACUGGUAAACCGGUGAAAAUUCGCCGUGAUUGGGAUCGGAAAUUGCAAUUAUUUUCCGUGAACGAGGAAUUCCAAGUAAGUGCGAGUCAUCAACUCGCGUUG